GAUGAACGCUGGCGGCGUGCCUAAUACAUGCAAGUCGAGCAAGCAGACGAGGAGCUUGCUCCUCUGACGUUAGCGGCGGACGGGUGAGUAACACGUGGAUAACCUACCUAUAAGACUGGGAUAACUUCGGGAAACCGGAGCUAAUACCGGAUAAUAUAUUGAACCGCAUGGUUCAAUAGUGAAAGACGGUUUUGCUGUCACUUAUAGAUGGAUCCGCGCCGCAUUAGCUAGUUGGUAAGGUAACGGCUUACCAAGGCAACGAUGCGUAGCCGACCUGAGAGGGUGAUCGGCCACACUGGAACUGAGACACGGUCCAGACUCCUACGGGAGGCAGCAGUAGGGAAUCUUCCGCAAUGGGCGAAAGCUUGACGGAGCAACGCCGCGUGAGUGAUGAAGGUCUUCGGAUCGUAAAACUCUGUUAUUAGGGAAGAACAAAUGUGUAAGUAACUAUGCACGUCUUGACGGUACCUAAUCAGAAAGCCACGGCUAACUACGUG
RNAcentral lists this ribosomal RNA (497 nucleotides) under uncultured bacterium. Its description in RNAcentral is "partial 16S ribosomal RNA". It matches the Rfam family "Bacterial small subunit ribosomal RNA", at positions 28 to 507 of the family's 1533-position model. The record is from RNAcentral.